RNAcentral lists this transfer RNA (74 nucleotides) under Nanobdellota archaeon. Its description in RNAcentral is "tRNA-His". It matches the Rfam family "tRNA". From Rfam's summary of the family: Transfer RNA (tRNA) molecules are approximately 80 nucleotides in length. Their secondary structure includes four short double-helical elements and three loops (D, anti-codon, and T loops). The record is from RNAcentral. Lineage: Archaea; Nanobdellati; Nanobdellota.
ACCGUGUUGGUGUAACUUGGUUAGCACCGAGGUUUGUGGUGCCUCUGGUCUGGGUUCAAAUCCCGGGCACGGUC